Bos taurus (domestic cattle) is the source of this 195-nucleotide small nucleolar RNA. The record is from Ensembl. Lineage: Eukaryota; Metazoa; Chordata; Mammalia; Artiodactyla; Bovidae.
UUAGAAUGUAUUAAAGUGCAUAGUGUGUGUUGUUCUCUACUGGAUUGUGAAUUCCAAGGACCAGAUCUAAAUCUGUGUAUCCUGCUGGCCUUGCCUCCACGUCCGCUGCUGCCUCCAGUUCCCGGCAGCUGCCUGCAGGGAGGCCGACAGGUGGGGCUGGGCACGAGCCACGUGAGCGCAACCUUGGAUCUGACA